GACGAACGCUGGCGGCGUGCCUAAUACAUGCAAGUCGAACGCAGUGGGGACGGGUGAGUAACACGUGGGUAACCUCCCAUCCAAUGGGAUAACACUUGGAAACAGGUGCUCAACCGAUACUGGUUGAUGGACCCUCGGUGCAUUAGCUAGUUGGUGAGGUAACGGCUCACCAAGGCCAAGAGGAAUAGCCGACCGAAGAGGGGGUGCGGCAAAACGGGGACUGGGACACGGCCCAGACUCCUACGGGAGGCAGAAGUAGGGAAGCUUCGGCAAGGGACGAAAGUCUGACCGAGAAACGCCGCGUGAGUGAAGAAGGUUUUCGGAUCGUAAAACGCUGUGGUUAGAGAAGCGGUAUCUAACCAGAAAGCCACGGCUAACUACGUGCCAGUAGCCGCGGUAAUUC
RNAcentral lists this ribosomal RNA (403 nucleotides) under uncultured bacterium. RNAcentral describes it as "partial 16S ribosomal RNA". It matches the Rfam family "Bacterial small subunit ribosomal RNA", at positions 28 to 526 of the family's 1533-position model. The record is from RNAcentral.